GACGAACGCUGGCGGCGUGCUUAACACAUGCAAGUCGAACGGAAAGGCCCUGCUUUUGUGGGGUGCUCGAGUGGCGAACGGGUGAGUAACACGUGAGUAACCUGCCCUUGACUUUGGGAUAAGUUCAGGAAACUGGGGCUAAUACCGGAUAGGAGCUCCUGCUGCAUGGUGGGGGUUGGAAAGUUUCGGCGGUUGGGGAUGGACUCGCGGCUUAUCAGCUUGUUGGUGGGGUAGUGGCUUACCAAGGCUUUGACGGGUAGCCGGCCUGGGAGGGUGACCGGCCACAUUGGGACUGGGAUACGGCCCAGACUCCUACGGGAGGCAGCAGUGGGGAAUAUUGCACAAUGGGCGGAAGCCUGAUGCAGCAACGCCGCGUGCGGGAUGACGGCCUUCGGGUUGUAAACCGCUUUCGCCUGUGACGAAGCGUGAGUGACGGUAAUGGGUAAAGAAGCACCGGCUAACUACGUG
Molecule: ribosomal RNA, 468 nt
Filed under: uncultured bacterium
Lineage: Bacteria
Description: partial 16S ribosomal RNA
Rfam family: Bacterial small subunit ribosomal RNA
Source: RNAcentral